AAGGGUAGAAGAUGCUCGAUUUGGAGUAUAUAGCCACCGUCUUGACGAUAAAUGGCUUGUUGGAGGUGCUUCAAACACAGGGGGAGCAGUUCUUAGGCAACUCUUCACCGAUGAGCAGUUGGAGAAACUAAGUGAACAGAUAAAUCCCUUUGAAACUUCCCCUCUUGAUUAUUAUCCCCUUCAAGCAGUUGGUGAAAGAUUCCCUGUGGCAGAUCCAAAGAUGGAGCCAAGGUUACAUCCACGUCCAGAAAGUGAUGUUGAAUAUUUG
RNAcentral lists this unclassified non-coding RNA (268 nucleotides) under Hevea brasiliensis (rubber tree). Lineage: Eukaryota; Viridiplantae; Streptophyta; Magnoliopsida; Malpighiales; Euphorbiaceae. The record is from RNAcentral.